AAGACCUUGCGCUUUUGGAGCGGCCGAMGUCUGAUUAGCUUGUUGGUGAGGUAAAAGCUUACCAAGGCUUCGAUCAGUAGCUGGUCUGAGAGGACGGCCAGCCACACUGGGACUGAGACACGGCCCAGACUCCUACGGGAGGCAGCAGUGGGGAAUUUUGGACAAUGGGGGCAACCCUGAUCCAGCCAUGCCGCGUGAGUGAAGAAGGCCUUCGGGUUGUAAAGCUCUUUCAGCCGGAACGAAACGGUUACGGUUAAUACCCGUGACUACUGACGGUACCGGAAGAAGAAGCACCGGCUAACUACGUGCCAGCAGCCGCGGUAAUACGUAGGGUGCGAGCGUUAAUCGGAAUUACUGGGCGUAAAGCGUGCGCAGGUGGUUUUGUAAGUCAGAUGUGAAAUCCCCGGGCUUAACCUGGGAACU
RNAcentral lists this ribosomal RNA (423 nucleotides) under uncultured bacterium. Its description in RNAcentral is "bacterial SSU rRNA". It matches the Rfam family "Bacterial small subunit ribosomal RNA", at positions 207 to 622 of the family's 1533-position model. The record is from RNAcentral.